This 313-nucleotide long non-coding RNA is filed under the name Homo sapiens (human). RNAcentral describes it as "HSALNT0150298". Lineage: Eukaryota; Metazoa; Chordata; Mammalia; Primates; Hominidae. The record is from RNAcentral.
UGUGAAAGAAAGAAUACCAGUCUCAUUUUUCAGGUAUACAACUUCAAGAGAACACCAUGGCUUUAGUCAAAAGGAAAGAAGCUGCGUCAUGUUGUCGGUGUUUGAAGGAAGAAAAGGCUGAAGAUAAUUCUUUAUCAGGUGGAACAGAACCUCUUAUAUGAAAAGUCUCUGUUCCCAUCAUUCAAAGACUACCAGGAACACAUCUGUGAUCAACAAAGAGAUUAUCUUGGUAGGAUGCCUGCUGAUGUUGGCUUUGAGUGACGUGACCUUCAACGCUUCCUUAAACAUGGACAUGAAAAGGAUCAGCUUCCAG